AUACUUACCUGGCAGGGGUGAUUCCAUGAUCACGAAGGUGGUUUCCCCAGGGCAAGGCUUAUCCAUUGCACUCCGGAUGGGCUGACCCCUGCGAUUUCCCCAAAUGCGGGAAACUCGACUGCAUAAUUUGUGGUAGUGGGGGAAAAAAAAGUCCUAUU
Molecule: non-coding RNA, 158 nt
Organism: Sarcophilus harrisii (Tasmanian devil)
Lineage: Eukaryota; Metazoa; Chordata; Mammalia; Dasyuromorphia; Dasyuridae
Source: Rfam